This 1161-nucleotide ribosomal RNA is filed under the name uncultured bacterium. Its description in RNAcentral is "bacterial SSU rRNA". It matches the Rfam family "Bacterial small subunit ribosomal RNA", at positions 8 to 1173 of the family's 1533-position model. The record is from RNAcentral.
AGAGUUUGAUCCUGGCUCAGAAUGAACGUUGGCGGCGUGCCUAACACAUGCAAGUCGAGCGAGAAAGUUCCUUCGGGAAUGAGUACAGCGGCGGACGGGUGAGUAACACGUAAGAAUCUGCCCUAUAGUGAGGAAUACCCUCGAGAAAUUGAGGUUAAUACUGCAUAAGUCCCUGCGGGGAGAAAAGCGUCUUUAUGUCGCUGCUAUAGGAUGAGCUUGCGGACUAUCAGCUUGUUGGUGAGGUAAAGGCUCACCAAGGCUAUGACGGUUAACCGGCCUGAGAGGGUGUACGGUCACAUAGGCACUGAGAUACGGGCCUGACUCCUACGGGAGGCAGCAGUGGGGAAUAUUGCGCAAUGGGCGAAAGCCUGACGCAGCGACGCCGCGUGGAGGAUGAAGGUCCUAGGAUUGUAAACUCCUGUCGGAUGGGAAGAAAAUACUACAUUUAAUAGAUGUGGAAUAUGACGGUACCAUCAAAGGAAGCACCGGCUAACUUCGUGCCAGCAGCCGCGGUAAUACGAAGGGUGCAAACGUUAUUCGGAAUCAUUGGGCGUAAAGGGUGCGUAGACGGUAUGUUAAGUUCGUUGUUAAAGACUCUGGCCUAACCGGAGUUCCGCAAUGAAAACUGGCGUGCUAGAGGGUGAGAGAGAGAAGUGGAAUUCCUGGAGUAGCGGUAAAAUGCGUGGAUCUCAGGAGGAACACCAAUGGCGAAGGCAGCUUCUUGGCUCAUUCCUGACGUUGAGGCACGAAAGCGUGGGGAGCAAACAGGAUUAGAUACCCUGGUAGUCCACGCCGUAAACGAUAAUCACUAGAUGUUGGUUCGGCUUAGCUGGAUCAGUGUCGUAGCUAACGCGUUAAGUGAUUCGCCUGGGGAGUAUGGUCGCAAGGCUAAAACUUAAAAGAAUUGACGGGGGUCCGCACAAGCGUUGAACAUGUGGUUUAAUUCGACACUACGCGAGAAACUUACCUGGGCUGACAUGUACUGACAGCUGUAGAAAUUGGUUCUUUGAUUUCGGUUCAACGUACACAGUGCUGCAUGCUUGCGUCAGCUCGGUCGGAGAAUGUUGGUUAGUCCUUACCGAGUCGCAACACCCUGCACAUUGCAAUUGAAUCUUAGAAUAGACUUGAUGGUAACGCCGGACUGGGAAACGUGGUAGAAAU